AGGAGGGUUUGACCUGGGGCUCAGAACGAACGCUGGCGGCGUGCCUAACACAUGCAAGUCGAACGAGAAAACUCUCUUCGGAGAGUCGGUAAAGUGGCGCAAGGGUGAGUAACACGUGAAUAAUCUGCCCUCAAGAUUGGGAUAACUUGGCGAAAGUUGAGCUAAUACCAGAUAAGACCACGUUUCAUAAGUAAUGCGGUCAAAGGGGUCUCAAUCCCCGCUUGAGGAUGAGUUCGCGGACCAUUAGCUAGUUGGUGAGAUAAAAGCUCACCAAGGCUUCGAUGGUUAGCCGGCCUGAGAGGGUGAACGGCCACACUGGAACUGAGACACGGUCCAGACUCCUACGGGAGGCAGCAGUGGGGAAUAUUGCGCAAUGGGCGAAAGCCUGACGCAGCAACGCCGCGUGAGGGAUGAAGGUUUUAGGAUCGUAAACCUCUGUCGGAUGGGAAGAAUUAUGACGGUACCAUCAAAGGAAGCCCCGGCUAACUCCGUGCCAGCAGCCGCGGUAAUACGGAGGGGGCAAGCGUUGUUCGGAAUUAUUGGGCGUAAAGCGUAUGUAGGCGGUUUGAUAAGUCAGACGUGUAAGCCCGUGGCUCAACCACGGAAUUGCGUUUGAAACUUAUCUAACUUGAGUGUAGGAGAGGAAAGCGG
RNAcentral lists this ribosomal RNA (651 nucleotides) under uncultured bacterium. RNAcentral's name for it is "bacterial SSU rRNA". It matches the Rfam family "Bacterial small subunit ribosomal RNA", at positions 1 to 664 of the family's 1533-position model. The record is from RNAcentral.